Molecule: long non-coding RNA, 497 nt
Filed under: Apteryx rowi (Okarito brown kiwi)
Lineage: Eukaryota; Metazoa; Chordata; Aves; Apterygiformes; Apterygidae
Description: lncRNA (ENSARWG00000008327.1)
Source: RNAcentral
CCCCUGCCAUGAUCCUGAAAUAUCUUACCAAGGACAGAGCGAUGGAGGAGGUUUGCCUUCCUUACAGUCCAAGGCAGUUGGUGUUAGGGAUCACAGAACAGCAACCAGAUGGAUGGAGGCAGUGUGCCUUCCUGUGUUUGCCAGGAAACUUUGCUCUGUCUUGGGCAAUCCAGGUGUUUGACAACUCCAGAAACACCGAAUUUCUUUGUAUCGAACUCUAUCACAAAAGAUGUUUUGCAGGUUCCUGCCUCAGACCUUCUCUUUGCUGAUAAUAAAGAUAAGAGAUUAUGAAAAUACUAAGGGACUUGUACUAACAGAUUUUUGCAAUACAUCAGCAUGGAAGCACCAAAUAACUGUGUUAGUGGAAUUCAGAUGCAAGUUCUGCAGGAAGAAAAAAAGAAUCUGCUGAGUAACAGUCUGUCAGAUAUGUUAACUGAGAGUGACAACACGAUGUGAUCUGCAAAAAGAGACAAUAAAGACAUUCUACUUACAAAGCA